Molecule: ribosomal RNA, 255 nt
Filed under: uncultured bacterium
Lineage: Bacteria
Description: partial 16S ribosomal RNA
Rfam family: Bacterial small subunit ribosomal RNA
Source: RNAcentral
UACAGAGGUCUCAAGCGUUGUUCGGAUUCAUUGGGCGUAAAGGGUGCGUAGGUGGCGCGGUAAGUCGGGUGUGAAAUUUCCGGAGCGUUAACUCCGAAACUGCAUUCGAUACUGCCGUGCUUGAGGACUGGAGAGGAGACUGGAAUUUACGGUGUAGCAGUGAAAUGCGUAGAGAUCGUAAGGAAGACCAGUGGCGAAGGCGGGUCUCUGGACAGUUCCUGACACUGAGGCACGAAGGCCAGGGGAGCAAACGGG